CCGGACCCGACUGCUAUUUGGGUGAGGAUAAGCCAUGCGAGUUGUAUGGGAUACCUAAAGUUCCCAUGGCAAACUGCUUAGUAACACAUGAUCAACUUGCCCUAUGGAGAAAAAUAACCUCGGGAAACUGAGGAUAAUCUUUCAUAGUUGAAUAGGCUUGGAAAAGUUUUUCAAUGAAAGGGAUAAGAAAAAUGGUUUUUAUCUGCCAUAGGAUAGGAUCGUGGUCGAUUAUGGUUGUUGGCGAGGUAACGGCUCACCAAGCCGAUAAUCGAUAGGGGCCGUGAGAGCGGGAGCCCCAAGAUGGGUACUGAGACAGCGACCCAGGCCUUACGAGGCGCAGCAGGCGCGGAACCUCCGCAAUACACGAAAGUGUGACGGGGUUACCCAAAGUGUUCAUUUAUGAACUGUGAUAGGUGAGUAAUGUCCCCUAUUAGAAAGGAGAGGGCAAGGCUGGUGCCAGCCGCCGCGGUAAAACCAGCUCUUCAAGUGGUCGGGAUAAUUAUUGGGCUUAAAGUGUCCGUAGCCGGUUUAGUAAGUUCCUGGUAAAAUCGGGUAGCUUAACUAUCCGUAUGCUAGGAAUACUGCUAUACUAGAGGGCGGGAGAGGUCUGAGGUACUACAGGGGUAGGGGUGAAAUCUUAUAAUCCUUGUAGGACCACCAGUGGCGAAGGCGUCAGACUGGAACGCGCCUGACGGUGAGGGACGAAAGCCAGGGGAGCGAACCGGAUUAGAUACGUCGGUGCUAGUUAAACGUAAUUAAACUAACAUCACGCUAAAAACCCGGGUAGUCCUGGCCGUAAACGAUGCAUACUAUGUGAUGGCACGGCCAUGAGCCGUGUCAGUGCCGUAGGGAAACCGUUAAGUGUGCCGCCUGGGAAGUACGGUCGCAAGGCUAAAACUUAAAGGAAUUGGCGGGGGAGCAC
RNAcentral lists this ribosomal RNA (922 nucleotides) under uncultured archaeon. RNAcentral's name for it is "bacterial SSU rRNA". It matches the Rfam family "Archaeal small subunit ribosomal RNA", at positions 17 to 879 of the family's 1478-position model. The record is from RNAcentral.